GGUUAAGUUAAUAAGGGCGCACGGUGGAUGCCUUGGCACUAGGAGCCGAUGAAGGACGUGACGAACGACGAAAUG
Molecule: ribosomal RNA, 75 nt
Filed under: Streptococcus sobrinus
Lineage: Bacteria; Bacillati; Bacillota; Bacilli; Lactobacillales; Streptococcaceae
Description: partial 23S ribosomal RNA
Rfam family: Bacterial large subunit ribosomal RNA
Source: RNAcentral